Molecule: ribosomal RNA, 429 nt
Filed under: Chloroflexota bacterium
Lineage: Bacteria; Bacillati; Chloroflexota
Description: Chloroflexi bacterium partial 16S ribosomal RNA
Rfam family: Bacterial small subunit ribosomal RNA
Source: RNAcentral
UGGGGAAUAUUGCACAAUGGGCGCAAGCCUGAUGCAGCCAUGCCGCGUGUAUGAAGAAGGCCUUCGGGUUGUAAAGUACUUUCAGUCGGGAGGAAGGUGUCAAGGUUAAUAACCUUGGCAAUUGACGUUACCGACAGAAGAAGCACCGGCUAACUCCGUGCCAGCAGCCGCGGUAAUACGGAGGGUGCAAGCGUUAAUCGGAAUUACUGGGCGUAAAGCGCACGCAGGCGGUUGAUUGAGUCAGAUGUGAAAUCCCCGGGCUUAACCCGGGAAUUGCAUCUGAUACUGGUCAGCUAGAGUCUUGUAGAGGGGGGUAGAAUUCCAUGUGUAGCGGUGAAAUGCGUAGAGAUGUGGAGGAAUACCGGCGGCGAAGGCGGCCCCCUGGACAAAGACUGACGCUCAGGUGCGAAAGCGUGGGGAGCAAACAGG